This 1255-nucleotide long non-coding RNA is filed under the name Drosophila guanche. Lineage: Eukaryota; Metazoa; Arthropoda; Insecta; Diptera; Drosophilidae. The record is from RNAcentral.
UAUCGGUAUGUGCAAGAGAGCUUUCUCUAUGUGCUCGCUUGCACAGCAAGCAGAGUGCGAAAAUGGGAAAAUUGUUAUUGCCGUCCAAAGAAGAGAGUGCGAAAAACCCGUGGCCUCCUCGCCUCUCCUCCCCUCCUCUGUGUAUGGAGCGUCGCCCAACAACUGGAUUCCGCGCCGGGAGACUCACCCUGAGCGCGUAUGUCGGUCUGGCUCGGUACGUACCCCUUCCUAUCGGGCACCUUCUCACUUUUACCCUUUUUCAGGCAGUUUCACCCACGGAAAAUUAUUUAGACGCUGGAGGAAAAACAAGCGCGUCCGAUCGCUUUCACUCUUCGACUCUGUAACGUGUGCCAGUGUGUGUUUGUGUGUGUGUGUGUGUAUGUGUGUUUGCGUCUGUCUCCCACCAUGACGCGUCGGCCUUUCGGGCAUUUUUAAUUGAUUUUAAAAUUUAUCAAACAGGAAGCAUCUCUUGAGCGGAGAGAACACGUUGGAAGCUCGCGCUCUCUGGCAACGGCUUUGGCUUUAGCUUUGCCUGUGGCUCUGGAUCGCACUGCGUGUCCAUUUAACGGCAUUUUACGGCGCAGAUCGCCAACCAGCUGGCCACAUUGUAGAAAGCGGACAGCAGCCAAAGUGUUUUCUGUCUCUACUGAUCGAUGUGGCGGGCGGUCUGGCUGUGGUCUGGCUGACAAUUUGUCAAUCGCUCGCCGCGCUCUACUUGGCUAAUUUAACUGCGGUUUUAAUUAGCCUGUCUGCUCGCUUUAAGCCUCUCGGGAUAGGAGACGAGUGAACGUUAAUAACAAAGGACUUCAGUGGCAAAGUGUCAGGUGACAGCAGCCAAGUAUGUACUUAUGUAGAUGGCGGUGCCAGGGAUUGUGCAAAACACCUUCUGGGCAGAGUGAAUUUGAAGGCAAGGAAAGCUUAAGUUGUCAUGCAAUAAUUUGUCCUGCUACCGUCCCCCCAAUAUUAAUUCCCUGACCCCAAAAAGAAAGCAUUAAACCCAGAGGUUUAAUCCAUUUUUAUUUCCGUCACAAAUUAAUGUUCGUGGUUCAUGUUCAGCCGAUGUCAGUCGUAGAUCCUUCGUCGUUAGCACCAUCCUCAUCCGCUUAUUCGAGCUUAAUUCUUAUAGAAAUAAUAAAAUUAAAACUAUUUUCUAUAUUUUCCAUAAUUUUGGGAUGUUUUUGCCCUUUUGCGGGGGCGGAACGGGCCGGGGCAAAUUUUUUAAAUACACUGGUCUCAGUGUGAGCAUACAGCAGUC